GGUUCGAUUCUGGCUCAGAUUGAACGCUGGCGGAUGCUUAUACAUGCAAGUCGAACGGCAGCACGGACUUCGGUCUGGUGGCGAGUGGCGAACGGUGAGUAAUGUAUCGGAACGCUUAGUAGCGGGGGAUAACGCAGCAUGCUGAAAGCGUGAAGCAUACCGCAUACGCUCCCCGUGUUGGGACCUUUCGGGCCUCGCAAUUAUUAGAGCGCCGAUAUCGGAUUAGCUAGUUGGUGGGGUAACUCACCGCGAGCCAUCCGUAGUUGGUUUGAGAGGACGACCAGCCACUACUGGGACUGAGACACGGCCCAGACUCCUACGGGAGGCAGCAGUGGGGAAUUUUGGACAAUGGGGGAAACUCGAUUCAGCCAUCCGUGUGCGAUGAAGGCCUUCGGGUUGUAAAGCACUUUUGGCAGGAAGAAACUGGUGCACGUGAUAAUACCCCGUGCAAUCGACGGUACCUGCAGAAUAAGCACCGGCUAACUACGUGCCAGCAGCCGCGGUAAUACGUAGGGUGCAAGCGUUAAUCGGAAUUACUGGGCGUAAAGCGUGCAGGCGGUUCGGAAAGAAAGAUGUGAACCAGAGCUAACUUUGGAACUGCAGCUUUAACUACCGAGCUAGAGUGUGUCAGAGGGAGUGUGGAAUUCCGCAGGCAGUGAAACGUAGAUAUGCGGAGGAACACCGAUGGCGAAGGCAGCUCAGAUAACACUGACGCUCAUGCACGAAAGCGUGGGGACAAUGAUUAGAUACCCUGGUAGUCCACGCCCUGCCUUUCAUGUCAACUAGCUGUUGGGGCCUCGGGCCUUGGUAGCGCGGGGCUAACGCGUGAAGUUGACCGCCCGUGGGGAGUACGGUCGCAAGAUUAAAACUCAAAAGGAAUUGACGGGACCCGCACAAGCGGUGGAUGAUGUGGAUUAAUUGAUGCAACGCGAAAAACCUACCUACCCUUGACAUGUCUGGAACCCAUGAGAUUGGAGUGCUCGCAAGAGAACCCGGACACAGGUGCUGCAUGGCUGUCGUCAGCUCGUGUCGUGAGAUGUUGGGUUAAGUCCCGCAACGAGCGCAACCUCGUGUCAUACAGCACGAAAGGCACUCUGACGAGACUGCCGGUGACAAACCGGAGGAAGGUGGGGAUGACGUCAAGUCCUCAUGGCCCUUAUGGGUAGGGCUUUCCACACGUCAUACAAUGGUCGGGACAGAGUGGUCGCCAACCCGCGAGGGGGAGCCAAUCCCAGAAACCCGAUCGUAGUCCGAUCGCAGUCUGGGUAAACUGACUGCGAAGUUCAACGCUGUAUAAUCGCGGAUCAUACGCCAGGCAGUGAAUACGGUUCCUGGUCUUACACAUCCGCUCCGGUCACACCAUGGGAGGUUUUACCAGAAGUAGGCCAGCUUCAACCGGCGGAGAAGGAUUACCAGCGGCAGGAUUCACAUCUGGUGAAGUCGGAAACAAGCAGAACUCUUACUACUACCUUUACGCUCCAAGAGCAACAUGCCAGAAUCGAAACCAGCGCCGCGGAACCGCAGCACAC
This 1529-nucleotide ribosomal RNA is filed under the name uncultured Bordetella sp. Its description in RNAcentral is "partial 16S-23S ribosomal RNA intergenic spacer". It matches the Rfam family "Bacterial small subunit ribosomal RNA". The record is from RNAcentral. Lineage: Bacteria; Pseudomonadati; Pseudomonadota; Betaproteobacteria; Burkholderiales; Alcaligenaceae.